Molecule: ribosomal RNA, 253 nt
Filed under: uncultured bacterium
Lineage: Bacteria
Description: partial 16S ribosomal RNA
Rfam family: Bacterial small subunit ribosomal RNA
Source: RNAcentral
UACGGAGGGGACUAGCGUUGUUCGGAAUUACUGGGCGUAAAGCGUACGCAGGCGGAUCGAUAAGUUGGGGGUGAAAUCCCGGGGCUCAACCCCGGAACUGCCCUCAAAACUGUUGAUCUAGAGACCGGGAGAGGUAAGUGGAAUACCUAGUGUAGAGGUGAAAUUCGUAGAUAUUAGGUGGAACACCAGUGGCGAAGGCGACUUACUGGACCGGAACUGACGCUGAGGUACGAAAGCGUGGGGAGCAAACAGG